GAUAAACGCUGGCGGCAUGCCUAAUACAUGCAAGUCGAACGCACCAGCAAUGGUGAGUGGCGAACGGGUGAGUAACACGUAAGUAACCGACCCCAACGACGAGGAUAACGGCUGGAAACGGCCGCUAAAACUGGAUAGGACGCGGACACAGAAGUGACUACGUUUAAAGGUGCUGAAAGGCACUGCGAUGGGACGGGCUUGCGGCGCAUUAGCUAGUUGGGGAGAUAACGGCUCACCAAGGCAACGAUGCGUAGCAGCGCUGAGAGGCGGAACUGCCACACUGGGACUGAGACACGGCCCAGACUCCUACGGGAGGCAG
This 319-nucleotide ribosomal RNA is filed under the name uncultured Chloroflexota bacterium. RNAcentral's name for it is "bacterial SSU rRNA". It matches the Rfam family "Bacterial small subunit ribosomal RNA", at positions 28 to 351 of the family's 1533-position model. Lineage: Bacteria; Bacillati; Chloroflexota. The record is from RNAcentral.